UAACAUUAAAAAAACAACUGUCGAAGUCAGACGAGUGUUGGUCGAGUCUACUGUCAACUACUGUGUUUGCGAUUGAGUGUUUUAGACAAGAAAUAUGCCCAGAUGCCCAGGAUAUUGAUUGCAGGGUACACCAAAUUUGGUCAACUUUCAUCAUGAGAUGCUAUAGUUCAGCUAUAGAGAGGACACAGAGAGUAAUUACAAAAAAAAAACGAAUUACUAAACUGCCAGUAGAUGUCCGACAGGAGCUUACGGACAGAAAGCGGCAGGCGCAAUUAGAUUUAGCAAUAAGGCCGCCUUUUGUCUCUAGUGUCUCGAUUUAUUUGUUUGGUACGUCAUUUUGUGCAAUCAAGUAUAUUGUAUUGCAAGACUGUAAUUUUAAAUUCUAAUAAAAAAUAUAUAUUUUUAAGGUCCGAAUGUUAAGUGCUUGGUAAAAAAUGUAAAUAAAACAAGCAUUCAAUUAUAAAUUGGUUUUAGUUCAUAUUAAUAAACCUUAAUUUUUCUACUGGUUUUCUU
Long non-coding RNA from Pectinophora gossypiella (pink bollworm), 513 nucleotides. RefSeq lists it as uncharacterized. The record is from RefSeq and is a predicted model, not a curated record. The transcript has 3 exons. Lineage: Eukaryota; Metazoa; Arthropoda; Insecta; Lepidoptera; Gelechiidae.